GAAAAAAGACAAGGGCAGACGGUGGAUGCCUUGGCUCUCGGAAGCGAAGAAGGACGUGAUAAGCUGCGAAAAGCUACGGGUAUCGGCACAUACGAGUUGAUCCGUAGAUCUCCGAAUGGGGCAACCCGGCAUAUGGAAGAUAUGUCACUGUGCAGAGCACAGAGCAGACGUGGGGAACUGAAACAUCUUAGUACCCAUAGGAAAAGAAAACAAAAGUGAUUCCCUUAGUAGUGGCGAGCGAACGGGGAGUAGCCCAAACCGGCUUUGUUUCGGCAAAGUCGGGGUAAUAGGAUCAGACGACAAAUUAUAUAAAGACUUUAGUAGAAUUGUGUUGGAAAGCACAGCCAGAGAGCGUGACAGCCGCGUAGACGAAAAGGUCGCUAUAUGAGAGUUUGACACCUGAGUAGCUCGGGACACGAGAAAUCCUGAGUGAAUUAGCGGGGCCCAUCCCGUAAGGCUAAAUAUACCCGAGAGACCGAUAGUGAACAAGUACCGUGAGGGAAAGGUGAAAAGGACCUCGAACAGAGGAGUGCAAUAGACCCUGAACCCGUCUGCCUACAAGCGGUAGGAGCCCCUACGUGGGGUGACUGCGUGCCUUUUGCAUAAUGAACCUACGAGUUGCCGUUGCUGGCAAGGCUAACCGGCUAUAGUCGGGUACCCGGAGCGAAAGCGAGUCUGAAUAGGGCGUUUAUAGUCAGCAGGGGCAGACGCGAAACCAAGUGAUCUACCCUUGGCCAGGUUGAAGGUUAGGUAACACUAAUUGGAGGACCGCAUCGGUAAGCGUUGAAAAGCUUUCGAAUGAGCUGAGGGUAGGGGUGAAAGGCUAAUCAAACUUGGAGAUAGCUCGUACUCCCCGAAAUGCAUUUAGGUGCAGCCUCAGGAGUUUCUUAUAAGAGGUAGAGCGACUGAUUGGAUGCGAGGCUUUCACCGGCUAUCAAGUCCAGACAAACUCCGAAUGCAUACAAGUUAGAUCCAUGGAGUGAGGGCAUGGGUGCUAAGGUCCAUGUCCGAGAGGAGAAGAAUCCAGACCAUCGGCUAAGGUCCCGAAAUAAUAGCUAAGUUGACCAAACGAAGUCAGAGUGCUAAGACAGCUAGGAUGUUGGCUUGGAAGCAGCCAUUCAUUUAAAGAGUGCGUAACAGCUCACUAGUCGAGGAUUUUGGCAUGGAUAAUAAUCGGGCAUAAGCAGUGUACCGAAGCUGUGGGAUGUUAAUACAUCGGUAGGGGAGCAUUCUAACGGAGUAGAAGAUUCGAAGACGAUUCGGGUUGGAUUUGUUAGAAAAGCAAAUGUAGGUAUAAGUAACGAUAAAGGGGGUCAGAAACCCCCUCGCCGAAAGACCAAGGUUUCCUGAUCAACGCUAAACGGAUCAGGGUUAGUCGGGCCCUAAGCGGCAGCCGAACGGCGCACGCGAUGGCAGAAUGGGUUAAUAUUCCCAUACUAAUCAUAUGAGUGAUGUGGAGACGGAGAAGUGACAGUACGGCCAACUGACGGAAUAGUUGGUUAAAGGGUGUAGAUGUAGAUUGGGGUAGGCAAAUCCGCCCUGAGAGUCGAACCUGAUAGUACAGAGCGUGCAUGCACAAUCUGAUAAGUACGUAAACAGGCUCCCAAGAAAAUCCGCUAAACAUAUUGUAUGAUUACCCGUACCGUAAACCGACACAGGUGGUUGGGUUGAGUAUACUAAGGCGCUCGAGUGAUUCGCGGUUAAGGAACUAGGCAAAAUAGUCCUGUAACUUCGGGAAAAAGGACGCCUCUGAGCGAUCAGAGGUCGCAGAGAAAAGGCCCUGGCGACUGUUUAACAAAAACACAUGGCUAUGCGAAAUAGAAAUAUGCAGUAUAUAGCCUGACACCUGCCCGGUGCCGGAAGGUUAAGAGGAGAGGUCAUCCUAUUAGGAGAAGCUUUGAAUUGAAGCCCCGGUAAACGGCGGCCGUAACUAUAACGGUCCUAAGGUAGCGAAAUUCCUUGUCGGGUAAGUUCCGACCUGCACGAAUGGUGUAACGAUCUGGGCACUGUCUCAGCCGCGAGCUCGGUGAAAUUGUAGUAUCGGUGAAGAUGCCGAUUACCCGCAACGGGACGAAAAGACCCCGUGAACCUUUACUAUAGCUUUAUAUUGUAGCCGGGUAUUAGAUGUGUAGGAUAGGCCGGAGGCUGAGAAUGGGCAACGCCAGUUGUCUUGGAGCCGCUGUUGAAAUACGGCCCUUUUACUAUUUGGCUACUAACACGCGUGUUGCGUGGACAGUGUAUGGUGGGUAGUUUGACUGGGGUGGUCGCCUCCAAAAGUGUAACGGAGGCUU
Molecule: ribosomal RNA, 2291 nt
Filed under: human metagenome
Description: bacterial LSU rRNA
Rfam family: Bacterial large subunit ribosomal RNA
Source: RNAcentral